RNAcentral lists this ribosomal RNA (496 nucleotides) under uncultured bacterium. RNAcentral's name for it is "partial 16S ribosomal RNA". It matches the Rfam family "Bacterial small subunit ribosomal RNA", at positions 28 to 506 of the family's 1533-position model. The record is from RNAcentral.
GACGAACGCUGGCGGCGUGCCUAAUACAUGCAAGUAGAACGCUGAAGAGAGGAGCUUGCUCUUCUUGGAUGAGUUGCGAACGGGUGAGUAACGCGUAGGUAACCUGCCUUGUAGCGGGGGAUAACUAUUGGAAACGAUAGCUAAUACCGCAUAACAAUGGAUGACACAUGUCAUUUAUUUGAAAGGGGCAAUUGCUCCACUACAAGAUGGACCUGCGCUGUAUUAGCUAGUAGGUGAGGUAAUGGCUCACCUAGGCGACGAUACAUAGCCGACGUGAGAGGGUGAUCGGCGACACUGGAACUGGGCCACGGCCCAGACUCCUGCGGGACGCAGCAGUAGGGAAUGGGCGGCAAUGGGGGGAGACAUGACCGAACAACCCCGAGUGAGUGACGACGGUGUUCGGAUCGUAAAGAUGUGUUGUAAGUCAAGAACGGGUGUGAGCGUGGAAAGUUCACACUGUGACGGGAGCGUACAAGAAAGGGACGGCUAAUUACGU